RNAcentral lists this ribosomal RNA (429 nucleotides) under Gemmatimonadota bacterium. RNAcentral's name for it is "Gemmatimonadetes bacterium partial 16S ribosomal RNA". It matches the Rfam family "Bacterial small subunit ribosomal RNA", at positions 355 to 776 of the family's 1533-position model. Lineage: Bacteria; Pseudomonadati; Gemmatimonadota. The record is from RNAcentral.
UAGGGAAUCUUCGGCAAUGGACGAAAGUCUGACCGAGCAACGCCGCGUGAGUGAAGAAGGUUUUCGGAUCGUAAAACUCUGUUGUUAGAGAAGAACAAGGACGUUAGUAACUGAACGUCCCCUGACGGUAUCUAACCAGAAAGCCACGGCUAACUACGUGCCAGCAGCCGCGGUAAUACGUAGGUGGCAAGCGUUGUCCGGAUUUAUUGGGCGUAAAGCGAGCGCAGGCGGUUUCUUAAGUCUGAUGUGAAAGCCCCCGGCUAAACCGGGGAGGGUCAUUGGAAACUGGGAGACUUGGGUGCAGAAGGGGAGAGUGGAAUUCCAUGUGUAGCGGUGAAAUGCGUAGGUAUAUGGAGGAACACCAGUGGCGAAGGCGGCUCUCUGGUCUGUAACUGACGCUGAGGCUCGAAAGCGUGGGGGGCAAACAGG